CACAAUAAACAUAUGAAGGCUGCACCGCCAACAGGCGGCAAGGCUGGAGUAUUUUAUUACCCUUGUCUUUUGCGCACUCGUUGUUUCCUGGGCGGGGUUCGCCCGCCUCCAGGACCACAUGAUAAACCUUUUUUAUGCAGUUGCAAUCAGCGUCAGUACAACAAAUGUAAAUCAUUUA
Molecule: unclassified non-coding RNA, 178 nt
Filed under: soil metagenome
Description: partial internal transcribed spacer 1
Source: RNAcentral